Long non-coding RNA from Pseudopipra pipra, 585 nucleotides. RefSeq lists it as uncharacterized. Lineage: Eukaryota; Metazoa; Chordata; Aves; Passeriformes; Pipridae. The transcript has 2 exons. The record is from RefSeq and is a predicted model, not a curated record.
CUUGCGGGGGAGUUGCCCCGCAGAAUCCAGGCAUGUCGGUAACUGAGAACAGAAAGCAGAAUCUCUCUCUCUUUAGUCCUUCUGCUCACUUGUGGAUAACUUAAAACUAAAAGAUUGUGUUUUACUAAAAGUUAGCAUGCAAGAAAUUUUAAGAGUUUCCCAGAGAAUGAAUCUUUAUAUAAAAGCUUUAGUGAGUUGCCUUGGUUUUAGUCACAUUUUACCCCUGUAAAGAACUUCUGCCCAAAUUUCGUGUUCAGUCUUAGCAGGAGGAGACAUAAGGUUCACACAAUAGAGAUCAUUUGUUGCUUAGCAACUGGGUGGGACUCAAACCACCUCCAGCAGUUUCUCAGAACUAGGGAGAGAGUAGAACUUAUACACCAAAAACUACAAAUCUGCAAAUAAGAUAAAUGGAAAGCUGGCAGGCUGAGGAUUUCCUUGAUUCUUAGAUAAAAGAACUAAAAACACGAGGAGAUGAUGUAGAUCACAUCUAAGGAACUGGCUGCAAGCUGGAAUCUGGCCUUCUAUAUCCUUCUGAACUGCACAUGUAGCUUAAGGCUGAGUAUUAAACAGAAUGAUCAAACAGUA